UGCGCAGCUAUAAUGCAAGUCGAGCGGACCUCUUCGGAGGUCAGCGGCGGACGGGUGAGUAACACGUGGGCAACCUGCCUGUAAGACUGGGAUAACUCCGGGAAACCGGAGCUAAUACCGGAUACUAUGUCAAACCGCAUGGUUUGACAUUCAAAGACGGUUUCGGCUGUCACUUACAGAUGGGCCCGCGGCGCAUUAGCUAGUUGGUGAGGUAACGGCUCACCAAGGCGACGAUGCGUAGCCGACCUGAGAGGGUGAUCGGCCACACUGGGACUGAGACACGGCCCAGACUCCUACGGGAGGCAGCAGUAGGGAAUCUUCCGCAAUGGACGAAAGUCUGACGGAGCAACGCCGCGUGAGUGAUGAAGGUUUUCGGAUCGUAAAACUCUGUUGUCAGGGAAGAACAAGUGCCGGAGUAACUGCCGGCGCCUUGACGGUACCUGACCAGAAAGCCACGGCUAACUACGUGCCAGCAGCCGCGGUAAUACGUAGGUGGCAAGCGUUGUCCGGAAUUAUUGGGCGUAAAGCGCGCGCAGGCGGUUUCUUAAGUCUGAUGUGAAAGCCCCCGGCUCAACCGGGGAGGGUCAUUGGAAACUGGGAAACUUGAGUGCAGAAGAGGAGAGUGGAAUUCCACGUGUAGCGGUGAAAUGCGUAGAGAUGUGGAGGAACACCAGUGGCGAAGGCGACUCUCUGGUCUGUAACUGACGCUGAGGCGCGAAAGCGUGGGGAGCGAACAGGAUUAGAUACCCUGGUAGUCCACGCCGUAAACGAUGAGUGCUAAGUGUUAGAGGGUUUCCGCCCUUUAGUGCUGCAGCUAACGCAUUAAGCACUCCGCCUGGGGAGUACGGUCGCAAGACUGAAACUCAAAGGAAUUGACGGGGGCCCGCACAAGCGGUGGAGCAUGUGGUUUAAUUCGAAGCAACGCGAAGAACCUUACCAGGUCUUGACAUCCUUUGCCACUUCUAGAGAUAGAAGGUUCCCCUUCGGGGACAAGUGACAGGUGGUGCAUGGGUGUCGUCAGCUCGUGUCGUGAGAUGUGGGUAAGUCCCGCACGAGCGCAACCCUUGAUCUAGUUGCCAGCAUUCAGUGGGCACCUCUAGGUGACUGCCGGUGACAACCGAGGAAGGUGGGGGAUGACGUCCAU
RNAcentral lists this ribosomal RNA (1144 nucleotides) under Bacillus sp. (in: firmicutes). Its description in RNAcentral is "bacterial SSU rRNA". It matches the Rfam family "Bacterial small subunit ribosomal RNA", at positions 43 to 1189 of the family's 1533-position model. The record is from RNAcentral. Lineage: Bacteria; Bacillati; Bacillota; Bacilli; Caryophanales; Bacillaceae.